CGCCUUUAGAGUUUGAUCAUGGCUCAGAUUGAACGCUGGCGGCAGGCUUAACACAUGCAAGUCGAACGGUAAGAAAGCUUGCUUUCUACGAGUGGCGGACGGGUGAGUAAUGCUUGGGAAUCUGGCUUAUGGAGGGGGAUAACUACGGGAAACUGUAGCUAAUACCGCGUAGAAUCGGAAGAUGAAAGUGCGCAAGCAUGCCAUGAGAUGAGCCCAAGUGGGAUUAGGUAGUUGGUGGGGUAAAGGCCUACCAAGCCUGCGAUCUCUAGCUGGUCUGAGAGGAUGGCCAGCCACACUGGAACUGAGACACGGUCCAGACUCCUACGGGAGGCAGCAGUGGGGAAUAUUGCGCAAUGGGGGGAACCCUGACGCAGCCAUGCCGCGUGAAUGAAGAAGGCCUUCGGGUUGUAAAGUUCUUUCGGUAUUGAGGAAGGUUGAUGUUAAUACAUCAAAUUGACGUUAAAUACAGAAGAAGCACCGGCUAACUCCGUGCCAGCAGCCGCGGUAAUACGGAGGGUGCGAGCGUUAAUCGGAAUAACUGGGCGUAAAGGGGACGCAGGCGGUUAUUAAGUGAGUGUGGAAAGCCCCGGCUCACCUGGG
Molecule: ribosomal RNA, 600 nt
Filed under: uncultured Haemophilus sp.
Lineage: Bacteria; Pseudomonadati; Pseudomonadota; Gammaproteobacteria; Pasteurellales; Pasteurellaceae
Description: bacterial SSU rRNA
Rfam family: Bacterial small subunit ribosomal RNA
Source: RNAcentral